CGGGGUGAGUAACGCGUGGGUAACCUGCCUCAUACAGGGGAGUAACAGUUAGAAAUGGCUGCUAAUACCGCAUAAGCACACAGUGUUGCAUGACACAGUGUGAAAAACUCCGGUGGUAUGAGAUGGACCCGCGUCUGAUUAGCUAGUUGGUGGGGUAACGGCCUACCAAGGCGACGAUCAGUAGCCGACCUGAGAGGGUGACCGGCCACAUUGGGACUGAGACACGGCCCAA
RNAcentral lists this ribosomal RNA (232 nucleotides) under uncultured bacterium. RNAcentral's name for it is "partial 16S ribosomal RNA". It matches the Rfam family "Bacterial small subunit ribosomal RNA", at positions 104 to 334 of the family's 1533-position model. The record is from RNAcentral.